UUUUAUCCUGGCUCAGGAGANCGCNGGCGGGGGUCCUUAAUACAUGCAAGUAGACGCACAGGAUGCNCNGUAGUUUACUACACNGUAUUCUUGAGUUGCGAACGGGUGAGUAACGCGUAGGUAACNUGCCUGGUAGCGGGGGAUAACUAUUGAAACGAUAGCUAAUACCGCAUAAGAACAUUUACUGCAUGGUAGAUGUUUAAAAGGUGCAAGAGCAUCACUACCAGAUGGACCUGCGUUGUAUUAGCUAGUUGGUGAGGUAACGGCUCACCAAGGCAACGAUACAUAGCCGACCUGAGAGGGUGAUCGGCCACACUGGGACUGAGACACGGCCCAGACUCCUACGGGAGGCAGCAGUAGGGAAUCUUCGGCAAUGGGGGGAACCCUGACCGAGCAACGCCGCGUGAGUGAAGAAGGUUUUCGGAUCGUAAAGCUCUGUUGUUAAGGAAGAACGUGUGUGAGAGUGGAAAGUUCACACAGUGACGGUACUUAACCAGAAAGGGACGGCUAACUACGUGCCAGCAGCCGCGGUAAUACGUAGGUCCCGAGCGUUGUCCGGAUUUAUUGGGCGUAAAGCGAGCGCAGGCGGUUAGAUAAGUCUGAAGUGAAAGGCAGUGGCUCAACCAUUGUAGGCUUUGGAAACUGUUUAACUUGAGUGCAGAAGGGGAGAGUGGAAUUCCAUGUGUAGCGGUGAAAUGCGUAGAUAUAUGGAGGAACACCGGUGGCGAAAGCGGCUCUCUGGUCUGUAACUGACGCUGAGGCUCGAAAGCGUGGGACGACAGA
RNAcentral lists this ribosomal RNA (783 nucleotides) under Streptococcus constellatus. Its description in RNAcentral is "bacterial SSU rRNA". It matches the Rfam family "Bacterial small subunit ribosomal RNA", at positions 12 to 773 of the family's 1533-position model. The record is from RNAcentral. Lineage: Bacteria; Bacillati; Bacillota; Bacilli; Lactobacillales; Streptococcaceae.